GAUCCUGAGUACGACGGAGCACGUGAAAUUCCGUCGGAAUCUGGGAGGACCAUCUCCUAAGGCUAAAUACUCUCUAGUGACCGAUAGUGAACCAGUACCGUGAGGGAAAGGCGAAAAGAACCCCGGGAGGGGAGUGAAAUAGAUCCUGAAACCGUAUGCGUACAAGCAGUGGGAGCCCACUUUGUUGGGUGACUGCGUACCUUUUGUAUAAUGGGUCAGCGACUUAUAUUCUGUAGCAAGGUUAACCGAAUAGGGGAGCCGAAGGGAAACCGAGUCUUAACUGGGCGUUAAGUUGCAGGGUAUAGACCCGAAACCCGGUGAUCUAGCCAUGGGCAGGUUGAAGGUUGGGUAACACUAACUGGAGGACCGAACCCACUGUCGUUGAAAAGCCAGGGGAUGACUUGUGGAUAGGGGUGAAAGGCUAAUCAAACUCGGAGAUAGCUGGUUCUCUGCGAAAUCUAUUUAGGUAGAGCGUCGGCCGAAUGCCCUCGGGGGUAGAGCACUGGAUGGGUAAUGGGGCCUCACAGGCUUACUGAUCCUAACCAAACUCCGAAUACCGAGGAGCACUAGCCGGCAGACACACAUCGGGUGCUAACGUCCGGUGUCAAGAGGGAAACAACCCAGACCGCCAGCUAAGGUCCCAAAGUCAUGGUUAAGUGGGAAACGAUGUGGGAAGGCCCAGACAGCCAGGAUGUUGGCUUAGAAGCAGCCAUCAUUUAAAGAGUGCGUAAUAGCUCACUAGUCGAGUGACACUGCGCCGAAAAUGUACCGGGGCUAAACAUAUUACCGAAGCUGUGGAUUGUCCUUUGGACAAUGGUAGGAGAGCGUUCUAAGGGCGUCGAAGCAUGAUCGCAAGGACAUGUGGAGCGCUUAGAAGUGAGAAUGCCGGUGUGAGUAGCGAAAGACGGGUGAGAAUCCCGUCCACCGAUUGACUAAGGUUUCCAGAGGAAGGCUCGUCCGCUCUGGGUUAGUCGGGUCCUAAGCUGAGGCCGACAGGCGUAGGCGAUGGAUAACAGGUUGAUAUUCCUGUACCACCUAUAAUCGUUUUAAUCGAUGGGGGGACGCAGUAGGAUAGGCGAAGCGUGCUGUUGGAGUGCACGUCCAAGCAGUAAGGCUGAGUGUUAGGCAAAUCCGGCACUCUUAAGAUUGAGCUGUGAUGGGGAGAGGAAAUUGUUUCCUCGAGUCGUUGAUUUCACACUGCCGAGAAAAGCCUCUAGAUAGAGAUUAGGUGCCCGUACCGCAAACCGACACAGGUAGUCAAGAUGAGAAUUCUAAGGUGAGCGAGCGAACUCUCGUUAAGGAACUCGGCAAAAUGACCCCGUAACUUCGGGAGAAGGGGUGCUCUUUAGGGUGCAAGCCCAGAAGAGCCGCAGUGAAUAGGCCCAAGCGACUGUUUAUCAAAAACACAGGUCUCUGCUAAACCGUAAGGUGAUGUAUAGGGGCUGACGCCUGCCCGGUGCUGGAAGGUUAAGGGGAACUGUGAGUGUAUGCGUAGCGGUGAACUUAAGCCCCAGUAAACGGCGGUGGUAACUAUAACCAUCCUAAGGUAGCGAAAUUCCUUGUCGGGUAAGUUCCGACCUGCACGAAUGGAGUAACGAUUUCCCUACUGUCUCCACCAUGAACUCGGUGAAAUUGCAUUACGAGUAAAGAUGCUCGUUACGCGCAGCAGGACGGAAAGACCCCGGGACCUUUACUAUAGUUUGGUAUUGGUGAUUGGGACGGUUUGUGUAGGAUAGGUGGGAGACGUUGAUGCGGCCACGCUAGUGGUGGUGGAGUCGUUGGUGAAAUACCACUCUGAUUGUUCUGGUUAUCUCACUGUGGACCGUGAUCCGGUUCAAGGACAGUGCCUGAUGGGUAGUUUGACUGGGGCGGUCGCCUCCUAAAAGGUAACGGAGGCGCUCAAAGGUUCCCUCAGAAUGGUUGGAAAUCAUUCAUAGAGUGUAAAGGCAUAAGGGAGCUUGACUGCGAGACCUACAAGUCGAGCAGGGUCGAAAGACGGACUUAGUGAUCCGGUGGUUCCGCAUGGAAGGGCCAUCGCUCAACGGAUAAAAGCUACCCCGGGGAUAACAGGCUUAUCUCCCCCAAGAGUUCACAUCGACGGGGAGGUUUGGCACCUCGAUGUCGGCUCAUCGCAUCCUGGGGCUGUAGUCGGUCCCAAGGGUUGGGCUGUUCGCCCAUUAAAGCGGUACGCGAGCUGGGUUCAGAACGUCGUGAGACAGUUCGGUCCCUAUCCGUCGUGGGCGUAGGAAAUUUGAGAGGAGCUGUCCUUAGUACGAGAGGACCGGGAUGGACAUACCUCUGGUGUACCAGUUGUCGUGCCAACGGCAUAGCUGGGUAGCUAUGUAUGGACGGGAUAAGUGCUGAAAGCAUCUAAGCAUGAAGCCCCCCUCAAGAUGAGAUUUCCCAACUUCGGUUAU
Molecule: ribosomal RNA, 2417 nt
Filed under: Sphenodon punctatus (tuatara)
Lineage: Eukaryota; Metazoa; Chordata; Lepidosauria; Sphenodontia; Sphenodontidae
Description: bacterial LSU rRNA
Rfam family: Bacterial large subunit ribosomal RNA
Source: RNAcentral